RNAcentral lists this ribosomal RNA (1437 nucleotides) under metagenome. Its description in RNAcentral is "bacterial LSU rRNA". It matches the Rfam family "Bacterial large subunit ribosomal RNA", at positions 1472 to 2925 of the family's 2925-position model. The record is from RNAcentral.
UCACAGUAGGAUAAGCUAACCGUACUGUUGGUUAUGUACGGCUAAGCAUUGAGGCAGUCUAAAUAGGCAAAUCCGUUUAGACAAUGCUAGGAUGUGAUGGGGAAGCCCUUCGGGGCGAAGUAGCUGAUUUCACACUGUCAAGAAAAGCUUCUAUCGAGUUUAAAGGCGCCCGUACCGUAAACCGACACAGGUGGGUGAGGAGAGUAUCCUAAGGCCAGCGAGAGAACUAUUGUUAAGGAACUCGGCAAAAUGACCCCGUAACUUAGGGAGAAGGGGUGCCUGUCUAUGACAGGCCGCAGAGAAUAGGCCCAAGCGACUGUUUACCAAAAACACAGGUUUCUGCUAAGUCGCAAGACGAUGUAUAGGAGCUGACGCCUGCCCGGUGCUGGAAGGUUAAGGGGAUCUGUUAGAGCAAUCGAAGCAGUGAACUUAAGCCCCAGUAAACGGCGGCCGUAACAAUAACGGUCCUAAGGUAGCGAAAUUCCUUGUCGGGUAAGUUCCGACCCGCACGAAAGGCGUAACGAUUUGGGCACUGUCUCAACAAUAGACUCGGUGAAAUUGUAAUCCCGGUGAAGAUGCCGGGUACCUGCGACAGGACGGAAAGACCCCAUGGAGCUUUACUGUAGCUUGACGUUGGGUCUUGGUACUACAUGUACAGGAUAGGUGGGAGACUAUGAAGCAUGGACGCCAGUCUGUGUGGAGUCAUCCUUGGGAUACCACCCUUGUAGUACUGGGAUCCUAACCAUAGGCCUUGAAUCAGGUCUUGGAACACCGUCAGGUGGGCAGUUUGACUGGGGCGGUCGCCUCCUAAAAAGUAACGGAGGCGCUCAAAGGUUUCCUCAGCACGGUCGGAAAUCGUGCGAAGAGUGUAAAGGCAAAAGGAAGCUUGAUUGCAAGACAUACAGGUCGAGCAAGGACGAAAGUCGGACUUAGUGAUCCGGUGGUACCGCAUGGAAGGGCCAUCGCUCAACGGAUAAAAGCUACCCUGGGGAUAACAGGCUUAUCUCCCCCAAGAGUCCACAUCGACGGGGAGGUUUGGCACCUCGAUGUCGGCUCAUCACAUCCUGGGGCUGUAGUAGGUCCCAAGGGUUGGGCUGUUCGCCCAUUAAAGUGGUACGCGAGCUGGGUUCAGAACGUCGUGAGACAGUUCGGUCCCUAUCCGUCGCAGGCGUAGGAAAUUUGAGAAGACCUGUCCUUAGUACGAGAGGACCGGGAUGGACGUACCUCUGGUGUACCAGUUGUUCUGCCAAGGGCAUGGCUGGGUAGCUAUGUACGGAAUGGAUAAGCGCUGAAAGCAUCUAAGCGCGAAGCCAACUUCAAGAUAAGAUUUCCCACCGUAAGGGUAAGACCCCAGGAAGACUACCUGGUUGAUAGGUCGAAGGUGUAAGUGCAGUAAUGUAUUUAGCUUAUCGAUACUAAUAGGUCGAGGACUUGAUC